RNAcentral lists this ribosomal RNA (253 nucleotides) under uncultured bacterium. RNAcentral's name for it is "partial 16S ribosomal RNA". It matches the Rfam family "Bacterial small subunit ribosomal RNA", at positions 524 to 776 of the family's 1533-position model. The record is from RNAcentral.
UACGGAGGGUGCGAGCGUUAUCCGGAUUCACUGGGCUUAAAGGGUGCGUAGGUGGGUAUGUAAGUCAGUGGUGAAAUCUCCGUGCUUAACACGGAAACUGCCAUUGAUACUAUGUUUCUUGAAUUUUCUGGAGGUUAGCGGAAUAUGUCAUGUAGCGGUGAAAUGCUUAGAUAUGACAUAGAACACCGAUUGCGAAGGCAGCUAACUACAGGGAUAUUGACACUGAGGCACGAAAGCGUGGGGAUCAAACAGG